Molecule: long non-coding RNA, 453 nt
Organism: Helianthus annuus (common sunflower)
Lineage: Eukaryota; Viridiplantae; Streptophyta; Magnoliopsida; Asterales; Asteraceae
Exons: 3
Source: RefSeq, a predicted model, not a curated record
GCAUGAAGGAGAAAAAAAAAACCCUUCUCCUUCGUUGUAACUCAAGGAAUUCAGAAAUUAAAGGUGUUGUUGAUCAAAAAUCGAAUGCAUGAAGCUAGUUAUUCGCUAAUCUAAGCACAUUGAACAUAAGGAUUGAAAGAAGAAGGAACUAGUUCCGGUUCGCCACAAAAGGCCCAAGAACGAGGUAAAUCUCAUGCUUAGGAUGGCGAGCUCGGAUCGAACACACCACAUCAUCCAUAUAUGCGCUUCUAGUUAAAGUUGCCUUCUUGUAAAAGGGUCAAAAUGAUUUUUGUAAUGUAAUGUUAAACUUAAGCCUAGGAUGUUCGUAAGUAUUUUGGAUAUUUUCUUUUAAAUCUUAUUUUGGGUAGUUUGGUCAAAAUACUUGUAAUGAAUUUUGUAUGGUUGCAACCUUCUUAUCUUUAAAAAGUGUCGUAGCACUAAACUUUGAAUGAA